AUUGAACGCUGGCGGCAGGCCUAACACAUGCAAGUCGAGCGAGCGGCGGACAGGUGAGUAAUGUCUGGGAACCUGCCUGAUGGAGAGGGAUCACUACUGGAAACGGUAGCUAAUACCGCGUACCAUCCGAUGUGCCCCGAUGGGGUUAGCUAGUCGGUGGGGUAACGGCCCACCUAGGCGACGAUCCCUAGCUGGUCUGAGAGUGUGACCAGCCACACUGGAACUGAGACACGGUCCAGACUCCUACGGGAGGCAGCAGUAGGGAAUAUUGGACAAUGGGCACAAGCCUGAUGCAGCCACGCCGCGUGUGUGAAGAAGGCCUUCGGGUCGUAAAGCACUUUCAUCGGGGAGGCGUUACCCGCAGAAGAAGCACCGGCUAACUCCGUGCCAGCAGCCGCGGUAAUAC
RNAcentral lists this ribosomal RNA (406 nucleotides) under uncultured bacterium. Its description in RNAcentral is "partial 16S ribosomal RNA". It matches the Rfam family "Bacterial small subunit ribosomal RNA", at positions 30 to 526 of the family's 1533-position model. The record is from RNAcentral.